RNAcentral lists this long non-coding RNA (218 nucleotides) under Lathyrus oleraceus (garden pea). RNAcentral describes it as "Pisum sativum (pea) long non-coding RNA (PSAT_LNC030777)". Lineage: Eukaryota; Viridiplantae; Streptophyta; Magnoliopsida; Fabales; Fabaceae. The record is from RNAcentral.
AAAUUACAUUUUUUGAAAAUGAAUUACAUUUUUUUUACAAUAACAUUAUAUUUACAUUAAAAGUGUAAAUAAAGUACAAUUUUUUUUCUAUUUUUACAUAAAUUACUUUUUUUUUUAUAUAUUUACAUUAAAACUGUAAAUAAAUUAUAUUUUUUUUCUAUCUUACAUAAAUUAUAUUUUUUAUAUUUACAUUAAAAGUGUAAAUAAAUUACAUUUUU